UUUUAUGAGAAGUAAGACUACCAUUUUGAGCAAAGGUCUUUCCACACUCGAUGCAUUUAUAUGGCUUCUCCCCUUUGUGGAUCACCUUAUGGCGAAUAAGAUGGCUUCUUUGAGCAAAAGUCUUUCCACACUCCAUGCAUUUAUACGGCUUCUCCCCUGUGUGGAUCCUUUUGUGGAUAGUAAGUCCACUACUGUAAGCAAAGGUCUUUCCACACUCUUUGCAUUUAUAUGGUUUCUCCCCUGUGUGGAUCAUCUUAUGACGCAUAAGAUGGCCUCUUUGAGCAAAGGCCUUUCCACACUCCA
Non-coding RNA from Notechis scutatus (mainland tiger snake), 303 nucleotides. NCBI's taxonomy places the organism in Eukaryota, Metazoa, Chordata, Lepidosauria, Squamata, Elapidae. The record is from RefSeq and is a predicted model, not a curated record.